UGCCCUGCUCAGUCUAUGACCCUAAGAAUGGAACUGCCAAACUCUUGGCUUCCUGUCUCACGACCCAUCACCCACCUUCAUGGAACCAUCUUCCAACUGUGCACGGUAUAGUCAAAUCAACCCAGCAGCCUGGCAUUCUUCACACUGGCUGCAAUUCCAAAGAGUUGUAAACAACAUGUCAUAGAGUCCUGCUCCUUGACCCCAACCUCUCUAUCUGAUCCAUCCCAGAAUCAUACUUUCUCCUUCUGUCCUUCAGCAAUCUGAUUUGAGUCUGUCCCAAAGUCUACCUACAACCUUCCCAGGAGUCAAACUUCUACCUUAAGAAUCAUCUAAGACUGUUAGAGCUGGAGGGAGCCUUGGAGACCAACUUCUCCAACUCCAUCCUUUGACAAAUGAGAAAACUAAAAUGCACAGGUGUGAAGUGACUUGGCCAGGGUCUCACACAGAUCCUUGGUAGUGGGUGUGGGCUAGAAUCCAGGUCCUCUAAUUCCCAGAGCACAGGGAGUUUGAAUCGCCUUAUGAGAAGAUGAAAUUAUUGCCCAAGACCCUGCCUGGCCUCCACUUCCAUGUCUGUGGAGCCCUUUGCAAGUGAAGACAUGUGUCUGAUGACCACGUCACCCAUAAAGGAUCCUGGUGUGGGAAGGAGAUGAGCCUUAGUCGGCUGUUUUAUUUUAUUUCCUUUCAUUUUAAAGCAUCAGGCAGAGAUGAUUAUGGCGCUGACCUAGAUGGCAUGCCUAUAUUGCAGUCACCUCACAAAGAAAGUAUACGUGACUGAAAGGAAGGGAAGUUUUCGUGAAUUCAUCAAGCAGGUAUUAGCCAGCUACACUCUGCUUCUUGGCUGUGCUGAGAAAAAUUGGAGAAUCUCAACCAGGUCCGCAGCACCCAACGCUGAAGCCAGACACCAGCUACACCUGGCAGCUCGUGCAUUAAAAUUCUGCAUUUUAACA
Microcebus murinus (gray mouse lemur) is the source of this 947-nucleotide non-coding RNA. Lineage: Eukaryota; Metazoa; Chordata; Mammalia; Primates; Cheirogaleidae. The record is from RefSeq and is a predicted model, not a curated record.